This 830-nucleotide ribosomal RNA is filed under the name Pristionchus boliviae. RNAcentral describes it as "SSU rRNA". It matches the Rfam family "Eukaryotic small subunit ribosomal RNA", at positions 58 to 917 of the family's 1831-position model. Lineage: Eukaryota; Metazoa; Nematoda; Chromadorea; Rhabditida; Neodiplogasteridae. The record is from RNAcentral.
UCUAAGAACAUAUGUGUAAACAUGAAUCUGCGAACGGCUCAUUAUUAACACCCGUAAUCUACCCAGUUUUCAUAUCCAAAACGGAUAUCUGCGUUAAUUUUGGAGCUAAUACGUGCACCAACGUACCGCUAGCAAUAGUGGUAUGCACUUGUUAGUUUAAGACCGACUGGGGCAACCCGAUUGGUGACUCUGAACAAUUUUGCGGAUCGCAUGGUUUUAUACCGGCGACGUACUGGUCGAGCGGGUGCCCUAUCAACUAUUGAUGGAAGUCUAUGUGUCUUCCAUGGUUGUAACGGGUAACGGAGAAUCAGGGUUCGACUCCGGAGAGCUAGCCUUAGAAACGGCUAUCACAUCCAAGGAAGGCAGCAGGCGCGUAAAUUACCCACUCUCAAUUCGAGGAGGUAGUGACUAUCAAUAACGAGACAGAUCUCUUUGAGGUCUGUCAUUGAAAUGAGCACAACUUAAAGACUUUAACGAAGUCUAUGGGAGGGCAAGUCUGGUGCCAGCAGCCGCGGUAAUUCCAGCUCCCAACGUGUAUAUCGUCAUUGCUGCGGUUAAAAAGCUCGUAGUUGGAUCUUAGCUUAUGACAGUAGUUCACCAUGUGUGAUACUGCGUGUCUGAGCUGUUUCGCCGGUUUUCCUUGGUUUCGGCCUUGGUGACUGGUGUUGUAACUUUGAUUAAAUCAAUGUGAUUAAAACAGGCGUUUGCUUGUAUGCUUUAUCAUGGAAUAAUAGAAUAUGACUUCGGUCCAUUCUGUUGGUCUUGGGUUCGAAGUAAUGAUUAAAAGGAACAACUCGGGGGCAUCCGUAUCGCUGCGUGAGAGGUGAAAU